This is a long non-coding RNA of Penaeus indicus, 226 nucleotides long. RefSeq lists it as uncharacterized. NCBI's taxonomy places the organism in Eukaryota, Metazoa, Arthropoda, Malacostraca, Decapoda, Penaeidae. The record is from RefSeq and is a predicted model, not a curated record. The transcript has 3 exons.
GAAGAUUAUUGCCUGUGAGCUUGAUUUAAGGGAACGCCAGGUGAAGACGUGGUUCCAGAACAGAAGAGCGAAAGAGAAACGUCGACGAGGCAGUACGAAGAAUAAAGACGAAGAUAACAAAGAAAUAGAAGAGAAUAAGGAAGAAGAGAAGAAAAUCGAGAAAGUGAAGGAACACUUGAUAAAGAAUGAGGAGAAUAAGUGAUAAUGGAUAAAAGGCAGAAUGACU